Molecule: ribosomal RNA, 232 nt
Filed under: uncultured bacterium
Lineage: Bacteria
Description: partial 16S ribosomal RNA
Rfam family: Bacterial small subunit ribosomal RNA
Source: RNAcentral
UGAGCAAUCUGCCCUUCUCUUCGGAAUAAGCGUUGGAAACGACGUCUAAUGCCGAAUACGACCUCCUUUCACAUGAUCGGAGGUGGAAAGCUCCGGCGGAGAAGGAUGAGCUCGCGGCCUAUCAGCUAGUUGGUGUGGGUAAUGGCCCACAAGGCGACGACGGGUAGCCGGCCUGAGAGGGUGACCGGCCACACUGGGACUGAGACACGGCCCAGACUCCUACGGGAGGNAG